Molecule: microRNA precursor, 78 nt
Filed under: Gorilla gorilla gorilla (western lowland gorilla)
Lineage: Eukaryota; Metazoa; Chordata; Mammalia; Primates; Hominidae
Description: miRNA (ENSGGOG00000039524.1)
Source: RNAcentral
GUUGGUUCAAAAGUAAUUGUGGAUUUUGCUAUUACUUUACUUUCAGUGGCAAAAACCACAAUUAAUUUUGCACCAACC